This 835-nucleotide ribosomal RNA is filed under the name uncultured bacterium. RNAcentral's name for it is "bacterial SSU rRNA". It matches the Rfam family "Bacterial small subunit ribosomal RNA", at positions 56 to 873 of the family's 1533-position model. The record is from RNAcentral.
UGCAAGUAGAACGCUGAAGAGAGGAGCUUGCUCUUCUUGGAUGAGUUGCGAACGGGUGAGUAACGCGUAGGUAACCUGCCUUGUAGCGGGGGAUAACUAUUGGAAACGAUAGCUAAUACCGCAUAACAAUGGAUGACACAUGUCAUUUAUUUGAAAGGGGCAAUUGCUCCACUACAAGAUGGACCUGCGUUGUAUUAGCUAGUAGGUGAGGUAAUGGCUCACCUAGGCGACGAUACAUAGCCGACCUGAGAGGGUGAUCGGCCACACUGGGACUGAGACACGGCCCAGACUCCUACGGGAGGCAGCAGUAGGGAAUCUUCGGCAAUGGGGGCAACCCUGACCGAGCAACGCCGCGUGAGUGAAGAAGGUUUUCGGAUCGUAAAGCUCUGUUGUGAGUCAAGAACGGGUGUGAGAGUGGAAAGUUCACACUGUGACGGUAGCUUACCAGAAAGGGACGGCUAACUACGUGCCAGCAGCCGCGGUAAUACGUAGGUCCCGAGCGUUGUCCGGAUUUAUUGGGCGUAAAGCGAGCGCAGGCGGUUUGAUAAGUCUGAAGUUAAAGGCUGUGGCUCAACCAUAGUUCGCUUUGGAAACUGUCAAACUUGAGUGCAGAAGGGGAGAGUGGAAUUCCAUGUGUAGCGGUGAAAUGCGUAGAUAUAUGGAGGAACACCGGUGGCGAAAGCGGCUCUCUGGUCUGUAACUGACGCUGAGGCUCGAAAGCGUGGGGAGCGAACAGGAUUAGAUACCCUGGUAGUCCACGCCGUAAACGAUGAGUGCUAGGUGUUGGAUCCUUUCCGGGAUUCAGUGCCGCAGCUAACGCAUUAAGCACUCCGCC